GAUGAACGCUGGCGGCGUGCCUAAUACAUGCAAGUCGAGCGAACAGACGAGGAGCUUGCUCCUCUGACGUUAGCGGCGGACGGGUGAGUAACACGUGGAUAACCUACCUAUAAGACUGGGAUAACUUCGGGAAACCGGAGCUAAUACCGGAUAAUAUAUUGAACCGCAUGGUUCAAUAGUGAAAGACGGUUUUGCUGUCACUUAUAGAUGGAUCCGCGCCGCAUUAGCUAGUUGGUAAGGUAACGGCUUACCAAGGCAACGAUGCGUAGCCGACCUGAGAGGGGGACCGGCCAAACGGGACGGGAGACCGGGCCAGGACGCCAAGGGGGGGAAGAAGGAGGAAACCUGCGGCAAGGGGGGAAAGCUGGAGGGAGCACGGCGGGGGGGGGAAUAAAGUUCUUGGGAUCGAAAAACUUGUUUAUGAGGGAAAAAAAAAUGUGAAAGAAACUAGGCAGGUCUGGAGGGUACAUAAUAAGAAAGCCCGGGCUAACUAGGUG
Molecule: ribosomal RNA, 497 nt
Filed under: uncultured bacterium
Lineage: Bacteria
Description: partial 16S ribosomal RNA
Rfam family: Bacterial small subunit ribosomal RNA
Source: RNAcentral